ACUUUUGUGGCACAGUGGUUUGAGCACUGGACUAUGACUCUGGAGAUCAGGGUUCGAAUCCCAGCUUGGCCA
This is a non-coding RNA of Phrynosoma platyrhinos (Desert horned lizard), 72 nucleotides long. The record is from the annotation of a GenBank genome assembly. NCBI's taxonomy places the organism in Eukaryota, Metazoa, Chordata, Lepidosauria, Squamata, Phrynosomatidae.